Molecule: long non-coding RNA, 1177 nt
Organism: Helianthus annuus (common sunflower)
Lineage: Eukaryota; Viridiplantae; Streptophyta; Magnoliopsida; Asterales; Asteraceae
Exons: 2
Source: RefSeq, a predicted model, not a curated record
CAGGCCAAUUUAUUGAAAAUCCAUUUAGAUAGGGAAUACAUAAAUGGAAUCACAAACUUCAUUCAUAGUGUAGAUAUUGAUCGAUCAACUUGAAAUAGAUGUUUUGAAGGAGAUGCUUAAGCAAGUUGGAUAUUCAUGUUUGGAUUUUGGUCUUAGAAUGUUUAGUAGUAGUGAUAAUGAUUUAGAAGCUGCUAUGUUUGAUCAUGUCCGUAAAGGAGUUAGCUUAAUUGAUAUAUAUUGGAAAUCAAGAGUCAUGAUGCAUUAUCUAUACAUUAUAUUCCCAUACAUGAUGCAUGAUUAACCAUCCCCCACACCUUAUAGCAAUGUAGUUGAGAAACCUAAAUUCAUUGCACCUCAAAAUGAUCUUUCAUUAAGGCUUGCAACUGAAAAUGCUAGUGAAAAUAAACCUGAUAAAGAAAGUAGUGAUGGCAUUGCGAUGAACGAGUCACAUGUCAGAUUCAGGAUGAUCGAGCGGGGAAAGGUUCAGGUAGACUAGUCAGAGGUUUUCAUGGUAGUGGGAGCAUGGGUUCUGCUUCAGUCAAGGUUCCUAGACAGCAUUGGGCCAGGACCGAAUACCUAACACAUGUGCUAUUUGGUGUGGAUUGUUAUUGGUCAGGGGUAACUGAGAGAGAAAGGAUUGCUUAUCGGUGGAAGAUAGGGGGAGAGACUGAGAGAGUGCCGAAGAGGAAGGCGGUAACCAGUUUACAAUAGUAGCAACGUCAUCGGCGUAGCUGUCGCUUCCACCACCUCCACCUUCCACUUUUUUUCUCUUGCCAGAGGUCAAAAUCAUGUGAGCCAUAGCGGCGACAAGAUCCUUUGCUGCCCUUAAUAUCUUAAGAUGAUGUGGCUGGGUGACAUGGAUGAGAGAGAGGGGAGAACAUCCGAAGCCAAGGGCUGAGAGAGAAGAGAAGAAAAGGGUGAUUGUGAGAGGGGAGGUGGGACCUACUGGUCUUGAGCCUGUUGCAGAAGAGGGAGGAAAGGGAUGGGCAGCUGAGGUGGCACCAGGCAGAGGGGAAGGGCUUUAUGCAAUGGAGACAGUCUAAGUGUACAGUCAUUACCUUGGUAAAUUCAUGAAAUCUAUUAUCAUAGAAAGUAAACCGGUGGUGGCUUUUUGGUAGGCUGAUGAGCUUUCAUAAGCUAACACCAGCACUUUGAUUUAUUUCAGCAUUUUAUGUGA